AUGGAUCAGUUGGCUCAAUUGUGGAGAGCUCUGACGCUUUCUAAUGGAGAAGGCCUUACAACAGGUUUGCCGGUCCGAGUGCCAAUGACACCUAUUGUUGCUUCAACUUCUGCUCUGGAGACUCGAAUGCCUAAUGUUGUAGUUGUCCCGAAUGUAUUUGAGACUACUACCCUGGUCAUGGUUCACGAGGUGGGUCAGUCGACUACCACGACGACCGGUUUCUUAGAUCGAGAACUUUCACCUUCUCCUUCUCCUGCCAAGAGGGUUUAG
Molecule: non-coding RNA, 270 nt
Organism: Vicia faba (fava bean)
Lineage: Eukaryota; Viridiplantae; Streptophyta; Magnoliopsida; Fabales; Fabaceae
Source: the annotation of a GenBank genome assembly